This 864-nucleotide non-coding RNA is filed under the name Rennellia elliptica. RNAcentral describes it as "partial transfer RNA-Thr". The stretch from base 4 to 515 matches the Rfam family "Group I catalytic intron". From Rfam's summary of the family: Group I catalytic introns are large self-splicing ribozymes. They catalyse their own excision from mRNA, tRNA and rRNA precursors in a wide range of organisms. The core secondary structure consists of 9 paired regions (P1-P9). Lineage: Eukaryota; Viridiplantae; Streptophyta; Magnoliopsida; Gentianales; Rubiaceae. The record is from RNAcentral.
GGAGUUAUUAGAUUGGGCCUUGGUAUGGAAACCCGCCGAGUGAGAACUUUCAAAUUCAGAGAAACCCCGGAAUUAAUAAAAAGGGGCAAUCCUGAGCCAAAUCCUGUUUUAUGAAAACAAAGGUUCAGAAAAUCAAAAAAGGGAUAGGUGCAGAGACUCAAUGGAAGCUGUUCUAACAAAUGGAAUUGGCUGCGGUAGUAGAGAAGUCUUUCCAUCAAAAAUUCAGUAAGUAUUAGUAUAAGUAUUAAGGAUGAGGUGAAGGAUAAGCGUAUACGUAGUAAAUAGUAUAUUAGUAUACGUAGUAAAUAGUAUAUUAAAUGAGUAAUGACAGCCCGAAUGAAUCUAUGUUUUUUCUAUGAAAAAAACAAAGAAUUGGUGUGAAUAGAUUCUACGUUGAAGAAAGAAUCGAAUAUUCAUUGAUCAAAUGAUUCACUCCAUAGUCUGAUAAAUCUUUUCAAGAACGGAUUAAUCGGACGAGAAUAAAGAUAGAGUCCCAUUCUACAUGUCAAUGCCGGCAGCAAUGAAAUUUAUAGUUAAGAGGAAAAUGCGUCGACUUUUAAAAUCGUGAGGGUUCAAGCCCCUCUAUCCCCAAAUAAACUAUUUGACUCCCCAACUAUCUAUUUACCUAUCCCUCUUUUUAUUAUCAGUUCCAAAUUUCUUAUCCAUUCACUCUACUCUCUUAGAAUUGAUCGGUGCGGAAAUGCCCUUUUCUUAUCACAUCUAUAUGAUAUACAUACAAAUGAACAAAUGAACAUCCUUGAGCAGAAUACCCAUUUGAAUGAUUUACAAUCUAUAUAUUACUAAUACUGAAACUCCUAAAGUCCUCUUUUUUAAGAUCCAAGCCGAGCAAUUUCAGUACCUAAA